AUGGAUCUGGACACAGAGAAUCGUCUAGCUUCAUUACUCCUUGAAGAAGCACGGAGAUUACAGUUAGAGGCUGACAGGGAAGGUGUUCAUGCAUAUCUGCGAAAGCCCAAUGUUAGGCAUCGUCCAAACUCCCGUUUCCUCACAGCCACAGUUCGUGGAGUUCAACAAGCAAACCGUGUUGUGGAGGUUGAUGAAAUGUGGCGUGCCAGGGAGAAGGAACUUGAACUUGAGUCUAAGCUGAAAAGAAGAAAUAAAGAGCGUGGUGACUCUAGAGGGGAGAAACGCAAAGGUGACUCGAGAAAUAUGAGUUCCAACUCAAAGAUUGAAGAAGAAACCACUUAUAAUAGUUCUUACUCAGACCAGGAUGAUGGUCUAGGGGAUGAUGAAAUUGAAAAGUUUCUGCAUUCAAGGGUAAAGCGAGGAAGAGGUGCCGUUGGCUCUAGGAUGGAUGAACCUGGUCCAUACCUAAAGGCUUCAUCACAUUGUCGAGACGAAGAACCUAGCCCGGAUAUACGUUUGGAAGAAAAAUGGGAACGGCGAGUACAAGGUCCGGAGAGGCCACUGUUUUUGAGAUCCAAGUCUCCUGAUGAUUGCUGGCAUAAGGAAACAUUGGACGAUAAGCCAUCCAGCUCUUCUGAACCACGCGGAAAAAAGGAAAAUAAAAAGGAGAGGAAAUCAGAGAAAAAAGAGAGAAAGGAGAGAAAAGAUAAGAAGAAAUCUAAGCAUCGGCACCGCCACCACCAUCACAAAAGCCGAAGAAGGGAGUGA
This 768-nucleotide ribosomal RNA is filed under the name Triticum aestivum (bread wheat). RNAcentral describes it as "partial small subunit ribosomal RNA". Lineage: Eukaryota; Viridiplantae; Streptophyta; Magnoliopsida; Poales; Poaceae. The record is from RNAcentral.